GAUGAACGCUAGCUACAGGCUUAACACAUGCAAGUCGAGGGGUAGCAGGGUAGCAAUACCGCUGACGACCGGCGCACGGGUGAGUAACACGUAUCCAACCUUCCCAUAACUCGGGGAUAGCCUUUCGAAAGAAAGAUUAAUACCGGAUGGUACUUUUUCAAGGCAUCUUGAGAAAGUUAAAGAUUUAUUGGUUAUGGAUGGGGAUGCGUUCCAUUAGAUAGUUGGUGAGGUAACGGCUCACCAAGUCUUCAAUGGAUAGGGGUUCUGAGAGGAAGGUCCCCCACAUUGGUACUGAGACACGGACCAAACUCCUACGGAGGCAGCAGUGAGGAAUAUUGGUCAAUGGGCGAGAGCCUGAACCAGCCAAGUAGCGUGAAGGAUGAAGGUCCUAUGGAUUGUAAACUUCUUUUAUAGUAGAAUAAAGUGAUCCACGUGCGGAUUUUUGUAUGUAUACUAUGAAUAAGGAUCGGCUAACUCCGUGCCAGCCGCCGCCGUAA
RNAcentral lists this ribosomal RNA (497 nucleotides) under uncultured bacterium. Its description in RNAcentral is "partial 16S ribosomal RNA". It matches the Rfam family "Bacterial small subunit ribosomal RNA", at positions 28 to 523 of the family's 1533-position model. The record is from RNAcentral.